UACGUAGGUUGCAAGCGUUGUCCGGAAUUAUUGGGCGUAAAGCGCGCGCAGGUGGUUCCUUAAGUCUGAUGUGAAAGCCCCCGGCUCAACCGGGGAGGGUCAUUGGAAACUGGGGAACUUGAGUGCAGGAGAGGAAAGUGGAAUUCCACGUGUAGCGGUGAAAUGCGUAGAUAUGUGGAGGAACACCAGUGGCGAAGGCGACUUUCUGGCCUGUAACUGACACUGAGGCGCGAAAGCGUGGGGAGCAAACAGG
RNAcentral lists this ribosomal RNA (253 nucleotides) under uncultured bacterium. Its description in RNAcentral is "partial 16S ribosomal RNA". It matches the Rfam family "Bacterial small subunit ribosomal RNA", at positions 524 to 776 of the family's 1533-position model. The record is from RNAcentral.